This 28-nucleotide small RNA is filed under the name Bombyx mori (domestic silkworm). RNAcentral's name for it is "ovarian small RNA-29143". Lineage: Eukaryota; Metazoa; Arthropoda; Insecta; Lepidoptera; Bombycidae. The record is from RNAcentral.
UCGUAGGCAGUCGACCCGGGAGGUCAGU